Molecule: ribosomal RNA, 320 nt
Filed under: Desmophyllum dianthus
Lineage: Eukaryota; Metazoa; Cnidaria; Anthozoa; Scleractinia; Caryophylliidae
Description: partial 16S ribosomal RNA
Rfam family: Bacterial large subunit ribosomal RNA
Source: RNAcentral
UUGACCGGUAUGAAUGGUGUCACGAAAGUUCUUCUGUUUUAAAAAAACACUCAAGGAAAUUGAAUUUGUAGUGAAGAUGCUACAUUAAAAUUGUUAGACGAGAAGUCCCCAUGGAGCUUUACUGAAAGCCUAAAAAAAAUUUUUUAUUUAUUUAUAGGUUAGACAGUUUUGUUGGGGUGAUAGUUUUUUAAAAAGUAACGAAAACGAACUAUGACGCAUGUUUCACUCUGAAAACUUGAAGAGACAUUUGGGGUGUGUUUUAUGAUCUAUUGUUUUGAAUGAAAAAGAUAAUGAAAGCAGAUAAAAGUUACCCUGGGGAA